RNAcentral lists this ribosomal RNA (429 nucleotides) under Fusobacteriota bacterium. RNAcentral's name for it is "Fusobacteria bacterium partial 16S ribosomal RNA". It matches the Rfam family "Bacterial small subunit ribosomal RNA", at positions 355 to 776 of the family's 1533-position model. Lineage: Bacteria; Fusobacteriati; Fusobacteriota. The record is from RNAcentral.
UGGGGAAUCUUCCGCAAUGGACGAAAGUCUGACGGAGCAACGCCGCGUGAGUGAAGACGGCCUUCGGGUUGUAAAGCUCUGUGAUCCGGGACGAAAGAGCCUGAGGUGAAUAGCCUAAGGAAGUGACGGUACCGGAAAAGCAAGCCACGGCUAACUACGUGCCAGCAGCCGCGGUAAUACGUAGGUGGCAAGCGUUGUCCGGAAUUAUUGGGCGUAAAGCGCGCGCAGGCGGCUUCCUAAGUCCAUCUUAAAAGUGCGGGGAUUAACCCCGUGAUGGGAUGGAAACUGGGAAGCUGGAGUAUCGGAGAGGAAAGUGGAAUUCCUAGUGUAGCGGUGAAAUGCGUAGAGAUUAGGAAGAAAACCGGUGGCGAAGGCGACGUUCUGGACGAAAUCUGACGCUGAGGCGCGAAAGCGUGGGGAGCAAACAGG